UAGGGAAUCUUCGGCAAUGGACGAAAGUCUGACCGAGCAACGCCGCGUGAGUGAAGAAGGUUUUCGGAUCGUAAAACUCUGUUGUUAGAGAAGAACAAGUAGGAGAGUAACUGCUCUUACCUUGACGGUAUCUAACCAGAAAGCCACGGCUAACUACGUGCCAGCAGCCGCGGUAAUACGUAGGUGGCAAGCGUUGUCCGGAUUUAUUGGGCGUAAAGCGAGCGCAGGCGGUUUCUUAAGUCUGAUGUGAAAGCCCCCGGCUCAACCGGGGAGGGUCAUUGGAAACUGGGAGACUUGAGUGCAGAAGAGGAGAGUGGAAUUCCAUGUGUAGCGGUGAAAUGCGUAGAUAUAUGGAGGAACACCAGUGGCGAAGGCGACUCUCUGGUCUGUAACUGACGCUGAGGCUCGAAAGCGUGGGGAGCAAACA
RNAcentral lists this ribosomal RNA (427 nucleotides) under uncultured bacterium. Its description in RNAcentral is "bacterial SSU rRNA". It matches the Rfam family "Bacterial small subunit ribosomal RNA", at positions 355 to 774 of the family's 1533-position model. The record is from RNAcentral.